CUGGGGAGUACGGCCGCAAGGUUAAAACUCAAAUGAAUUGACGGGGGCCCGCACAAGCGGUGGAGCAUGUGGUUUAAUUCGAUGCAACGCGAAGAACCUUACCUACUCUUGACAUCCACAGAAUUCGCUAGAGAUAGCUUAGUGCCUUCGGGAACUGUGAGACAGGUGCUGCAUGGCUGUCGUCAGCUCGUGUUGUGAAAUGUUGGGUUAAGUCCCGCAACGAGCGCAACCCUUAUCCUUUGUUGCCAGCACGUAAUGGUGGGA
This 264-nucleotide ribosomal RNA is filed under the name Serratia proteamaculans. RNAcentral describes it as "partial 16S ribosomal RNA". It matches the Rfam family "Bacterial small subunit ribosomal RNA", at positions 873 to 1136 of the family's 1533-position model. The record is from RNAcentral. Lineage: Bacteria; Pseudomonadati; Pseudomonadota; Gammaproteobacteria; Enterobacterales; Yersiniaceae.